UGUUUCAGUGGCAGAAGUCCUGCCUUCCGUGCAGGAGACCUGGGUUUGAUUCCCAG
RNAcentral lists this transfer RNA (56 nucleotides) under Loxodonta africana (African savanna elephant). It matches the Rfam family "tRNA", at positions 8 to 63 of the family's 71-position model. Rfam says of the family: Transfer RNA (tRNA) molecules are approximately 80 nucleotides in length. Their secondary structure includes four short double-helical elements and three loops (D, anti-codon, and T loops). Lineage: Eukaryota; Metazoa; Chordata; Mammalia; Proboscidea; Elephantidae. The record is from Rfam by way of RNAcentral.